CUAGCUGUCCAGACACCCUUUUGCAAUUUUUGUUUGAAUUGAUUUUUUUAAAAGCACCUGAUAUAUACUUUUCUUCUUAUUCUUCUCCUUCUAGUCCUCUAUUCAAGGCCCACCACAGAGACACAGGAAUGGAACUCAGAAUCACAAACAAAGAAACCUCGGUCCAAGAAAGAAAAUGAUCUUUAAAAAGACCCUCGUUUCAUGCUUGCCGAUGCUGAGACAAUCGGCUCUGGAGGAUAUUUGGAGACACCGAUUAAAAGAAAUGUGGUAGCCCAAGACCCAAGCAAGGAUAGGAUUUCCCAGACAUUCCCAGGGGAGACAAUCCCAUGUGCUUUCCUUCUGAUGUCACAUCAGAAUCUGAAGGCUGCUAGAGAAGGGAGAGGCACAUGCAAGUGCAUCCCAUGCUGAUUGUUGUUGAAAUACCUGGAAAGAAACUGGCAAAGACUAUCCAAGAGCCAAGGAGCAUCAACAUUUGGCUUCAGAGAUGCUGCUAAAUCCUGAAUAAACAAGAGUGAACAAGCAAGGGAAAUUAGCUGUCAUGUGAGGAUACUCAAACAGUUUAUAAAGAGGUUCAUGCGGCAAGGAAUGGAGGCCUCCUGCCAACAGCCAUGUAAAGGAGUCAUCUAGGAAACAGAUUCUCCAGCCCCAGUCAGACCUUCAGAUAAUUACAGCCCCUACCAAUAUUCUGACUGCAGUGGAAGGAAAGACCCUGAACUAGAACCACCCAGGUAAGAUAAUCCUGGAUUCCUGACCUAGAGAAACUCUGAGAUAGUAUUUGUUGUUUAAAGCCACAUCUUUGUGGGACAAUGUAUUAAGCAUAACUAAUACAUGUGAUUAGGGAAGCUUUUAAUAAGAGGUUAACAGAUUAGCAGAGACCAGAAUGAAAAAGGGGAAUGAGCCAGGUAAAUAUAUGUGUGAAGAAUGCUUAAAGUAGAGGGGAUAGAACUGGCAUAGGUCCUGUGGUUAGAACAAGCUUCAUAUUUUUCAAGGAAAAUUGCAGGACUUGGAAAUGGGCAAGAGAUACCCAAGUAUCCAUUCAGUGGAGGGCUGAGCAUUGUCUAGGAUAUCCUCUGGGGAUAUCUGAUUAUAUUGAGAUGUUUCUCUUUAACUGAAUUUCUAUUUUCUAAGUUAUUUUACUUGUGGAAAACUGACAGUAACGCAAAUGAUCCUCCUUAAAGAAAUACAAUGAAUUUUGUCUAGUACAGAUGUGACGGAAUUCUACCCUGUAGAAAAGAGAGUCCCAAACAAUACAUUUUAAGCAGCUCUAUGGAAAUAUAAUUCGUAUACCAUACAAUUCAUCCAUUUAAAGCUUAAAAUUCAGUUUUGUUCAGUAUGUGCACAGGGUUGUACAAACAGCACAACAAUCUAAUUUUAGACCGUUUUAUUGUUCCUCCUCAUUCCUUCAAAGAAACCCCAUCCCCAUUAGCAGCUCCUUCUCAUUCUUUUUCAUGUUUUUUCCCCCAUCUUCCAAGCCCUAGGCAACCACUAAUCUACCCUCUGUCUCUAUAGAUUUGCUUAUUCUGAAAAUUUUAUGUAAAUGUAAACCUACAGUAUGCAGUCUUUCAAAACUGAUUUCUGUCACUUAGCAUAAUGGUUUCAAGGUUCAUCUAUGCUGUAACAUGUAUCAAUACUUCAUUCUUUAUUGCCAAAUAAUAUUCAAUUGUAUAGAUAACUAUAUUUUUGUGGUUUUUGUAUAGGUAACUAUUUUCUCCCAUUAGGAGGUUUGCCUUUUUCACUUCUUGAUGGUAUUAUUUGCAAAAUAAGAGUUUUUAAUUUUAAAUCCAAUUUAUAUUAUUUCUUUUGUUGCCUGUGCUUUUGAUGUUGUAUCAAAGACACCAUCACUUGACAUAAAGCCACAAAGGUUUAUUUUUUUGUUUUCUUCUAAGAGUUUUAGUGUUUUAGCUCUUACAUUUAGGUUUAUGAUUCAUUUUCAGUUUAUGUCUGUAUGUGUUAUGUGGUAGAGAUCCAAAUUUAUUCUUUCGUAUGUGGAUGUCCAGAUGUCCCUCCACAAUUUGUUAAAUAGAGUAUUCUUUCUUCAUUAAAUUGUGACUGUACUUUUGUUGAACAUCAACUGAUCAUAAAAAUAUGGUUUAUUUAUGCACUC
This is a long non-coding RNA of Macaca mulatta (Rhesus monkey), 2104 nucleotides long. NCBI's taxonomy places the organism in Eukaryota, Metazoa, Chordata, Mammalia, Primates, Cercopithecidae. The record is from Ensembl.